Molecule: ribosomal RNA, 454 nt
Filed under: uncultured bacterium
Lineage: Bacteria
Description: bacterial SSU rRNA
Rfam family: Bacterial small subunit ribosomal RNA
Source: RNAcentral
ACUGAGAAGAUAGUGGCGAACGGGUGAGUAACACGUGGGUAACCCUGCCCAUAAGAGGGGGAUAACAUCCGGAAACGGGUGCUAAUACCGCAUAGUUUUCUUGAUCGCAUGAUUGAGAAAGGAAAGACGGCCUUUGUGCUGUCGCUUAUGGAUGGACCCGCGGCGUAUUAGUUAGUUGGUGAGGUAACGGCUCACCAAGACGAUGAUACGUAGCCGACCUGAGAGGGUGAUCGGCCACAUUGGGACUGAGACACGGCCCAAACUCCUACGGGAGGCAGCAGUAGGGAAUCUUCCGCAAUGGACGAAAGUCUGACGGAGCAACGCCGCGUGAGUGAAGAAAAGGUUUUCGGAUCGUAAAACUCUGUUGUCAGAGAAGAACAAGUUGGAGAGUAACUGCUCCAGCCUUGACGGUAUCUGACCAGAAAGCCACGGCUAACUACGUGCCAGCAGCGGC